AUUGAACGCUGGCGGCAGGCCUAACACAUGCAAGUCGAACGGUAACAGGAAGAAGCUUGCUUCUUUGCUGACGAGUGGCGGACGGGUGAGUAAUGUCUGGGAAACUGCCUGAUGGAGGGGGAUAACUACUGGAAACGGUAGCUAAUACCGCAUAACGUCGCCAGACCAAAGAGGGGGACCUUCGGGCCUCUUGCCAUCGGAUGUGCCCAGAUGGGAUUAGCUAGUAGGUGGGGUAACGUCUCACCUAGGCGACGAUCCCUAGCUGCUCUGAGAGGAUGACCAGCCACACUGGAACUGAGACACGGUCCAGACUCCUACGGGAGGCAGCAGUGGGGAAUAUUGCACAAUGGGCGCAAGCCUGAUGCAGCCAUGCCGCGUGUAUGAAGAAGGCCUUCGGGUUGUAAAGUACUUUCAGCGGGGAGGAAGGGAGUAAAGUUAAUACCUUUGCUCAUUGACGUUACCCGCAGAAGAAGCACCGGCUAACUCCGUG
RNAcentral lists this ribosomal RNA (490 nucleotides) under uncultured bacterium. RNAcentral's name for it is "partial 16S ribosomal RNA". It matches the Rfam family "Bacterial small subunit ribosomal RNA", at positions 30 to 507 of the family's 1533-position model. The record is from RNAcentral.